AAAGGAAUUGACGGGGGCCCGCACAAGCAGUGGAGUAUGUGGUUUAAUUCGACGCAACGCGAAGAACCUUACCAGGGCUUGACAUAUAUAGGAAGGUUUAAGAGAUUAAACUGUUCUCUUCGGAGACCUUUAUACAAGUGGUGCAUGGUUGUCGUCAGCUCGUGUCGUGAGAUGUUGGGUUAAGUCCCGUAACGAGCGCAACCCCUAUGUUUAGUUACUACCAUUAAGUUGAGGACUUUAAACAGACUGCCAGUGAUAAACUGGAGGAAGGUGGGGACGACGUCAAAUCAUCAUGCUCUUUAUGUCCUGGGCUACACACGUACUACAAUGGAGAGACCAGAGGGAAGCUAAGCCGCGAGGUGGAGCAAAACCCUAAAGCUCUUCUAAGUUCGAAUUGCAGAUUGAAACUCAUCUGCAUGAAGCCGGAAUUGCUAGUAAUGGCAGGUCAUCAUACUGCCGUGAAUACGUUCCCGGGCCUUGUACACACCGCCCGU
This 494-nucleotide ribosomal RNA is filed under the name uncultured bacterium. RNAcentral describes it as "bacterial SSU rRNA". It matches the Rfam family "Bacterial small subunit ribosomal RNA", at positions 903 to 1397 of the family's 1533-position model. The record is from RNAcentral.